This 253-nucleotide ribosomal RNA is filed under the name uncultured bacterium. RNAcentral describes it as "partial 16S ribosomal RNA". It matches the Rfam family "Bacterial small subunit ribosomal RNA", at positions 524 to 776 of the family's 1533-position model. The record is from RNAcentral.
UACGGGGGGAGCAAGCGUUGUUCGGAUUUACUGGGCGUAAAGGGCGCGUAGGCGGUAGCACAAGUCAGUUGUGAAAUCUCCGGGCUUAACUCGGAAAGGUCAACUGAUACUGUGCGACUAGAGUGCAGAAGGGGCAACUGGAAUUCUCGGUGUAGCGGUGAAAUGCAUUGAGAUCGGAAAGAACACCAACGGCGAAAGCACUCUGCUGGGCCGACACUGACACUGAGAGACGAAAGCUAGGGGAGCAAAUGGG